GGGACACGUGGUAUCCUGUCUGAAUAUGGGGGGACCAUCCUCCAAGGCUAAAUACUCCUGACUGACCGAUAGUGAACCAGUACCGUGAGGGAAAGGCGAAAAGAACCCCGGCGAGGGGAGUGAAAAAGAACCUGAAACCGUGUACGUACAAGCAGUGGGAGCCUCUUUAUGGGGUGACUGCGUACCUUUUGUAUAAUGGGUCAGCGACUUAUAUUCUGUAGCAAGGUUAACCGAAUAGGGGAGCCGAAGGGAAACCGAGUCUUAACUGGGCGUUAAGUUGCAGGGUAUAGACCCGAAACCCGGUGAUCUAGCCAUGGGCAGGUUGAAGGUUGGGUAACACUAACUGGAGGACCGAACCGACUAAUGUUGAAAAAUUAGCGGAUGACUUGUGGCUGGGGGUGAAAGGCCAAUCAAACCGGGAGAUAGCUGGUUCUCCCCGAAAGCUAUUUAGGUAGCGCCUCGUGAAUUCAUCUCCGGGGGUAGAGCACUGUUUCGGCAAGGGGGUCAUCCCGACUUACCAACCCGAUGCAAACUGCGAAUACCGGAGAAUGUUAUCACGGGAGACACACGGCGGGUGCUAACGUCCGUCGUGAAGAGGGAAACAACCCAGACCGCCAGCUAAGGUCCCAAAGUCAUGGUUAAGUGGGAAACGAUGUGGGAAGGCCCAGACAGCCAGGAUGUUGGCUUAGAAGCAGCCAUCAUUUAAAGAAAGCGUAAUAGCUCACUGGUCGAGUCGGCCUGCGCGGAAGAUGUAACGGGGCUAAACCAUGCACCGAAGCUGCGGCAGCGACACUAAGUGUUGUUGGGUAGGGGAGCGUUCUGUAAGCCUGUGAAGGUGUACUGUGAGGUAUGCUGGAGGUAUCAGAAGUGCGAAUGCUGACAUAAGUAACGAUAAAGCGGGUGAAAAGCCCGCUCGCCGGAAGACCAAGGGUUCCUGUCCAACGUUAAUCGGGGCAGGGUGAGUCGACCCCUAAGGCGAGGCCGAAAGGCGUAGUCGAUGGGAAACAGGUUAAUAUUCCUGUACUUGGUGUUACUGCGAAGGGGGGACGGAGAAGGCUAUGUUGGCCGGGCGACGGUUGUCCCGGUUUAAGCGUGUAGGCUGGUUUUCCAGGCAAAUCCGGAAAAUCAAGGCUGAGGCGUGAUGACGAGGCACUACGGUGCUGAAGCAACAAAUGCCCUGCUUCCAGGAAAAGCCUCUAAGCAUCAGGUAACAUCAAAUCGUACCCCAAACCGACACAGGUGGUCAGGUAGAGAAUACCAAGGCGCUUGAGAGAACUCGGGUGAAGGAACUAGGCAAAAUGGUGCCGUAACUUCGGGAGAAGGCACGCUGAUAUGUAGGUGAAGCGACUUGCUCGUGGAGCUGAAAUCAGUCGAAGAUACCAGCUGGCUGCAACUGUUUAUUAAAAACACAGCA
This 1414-nucleotide ribosomal RNA is filed under the name Escherichia coli. RNAcentral describes it as "partial 23S ribosomal RNA". It matches the Rfam family "Bacterial large subunit ribosomal RNA", at positions 419 to 1820 of the family's 2925-position model. Lineage: Bacteria; Pseudomonadati; Pseudomonadota; Gammaproteobacteria; Enterobacterales; Enterobacteriaceae. The record is from RNAcentral.